GAGUCAGACCGUGGGGGCUAAGCUCCAUGUGUCAAAAGGGAAACAGCCCAGACCGCAAUUUAAGGUCCCUAAAUCCAAACUCAGUGUGAAAGGUGGUGAUUUGACUCAAACAGUUAGGAGGUUGGCUUAGAAGCAGCCACCCUUUAAAGAAAGCGUAAUAGCUCACUAACCAAGUUGGGUUGCGCCGAAAAUGUAACGGGGCUUAAGUUUGGUACCGAAAAUGCGGAUUCAUUAAAUUUAUUUAAUGAGUGGUAGAGGAGCAUUCUGUAUGCGCUGAAGUGAGACCCGCGAGGGAUCGUGGAGCGUACAGAAGAGAGAAUGUUGGCAUGAGUAGCAAAAAGGCAGGUGAGAACCCUGCCCACCGUAAGUCUAAGGUUUCCUGGGCAACGCAAAUCGACCCAGGGUUAGCCGGUCCUAAGGCGAGGCCGAAAGGCGUAGUCGAUGGACGAGCAGGUUAAUAUUCCUGCGCUACAGCAGGUUUUCGAUGGGGUGACGCAUCGGCAGAGAUUAAGCGAGCUAUGGGAUGUUCGUUGCUGGCUAAGGCGUGGUAAUUGGUAAAUCCGUUACCGCAAGCGCUGAGGUUGGCAGAAGAGGAAGGUUUUACCGGACUCAAUUUAGUUAAAGCAGGUGACUAGAAAAACCUCUAGAGUUAAGCUUGUUGUAACCGUACCGUAAACCGACACAGGUAGACGGGCGCAAAUGUGCCAAGGUGUACGAGAUAAUCAUCGUUAGGGAACUCGGCAAAACAGUAUCCGUAAGUUCGCAAUAAGGAUUCCCCACACCUUUCUGUUUAUAAGCAGGAUUAUAGUUGAAUGAAUUUAACUUAAUUCCAGUUUGUAAUUAGAAAGGUGUGGGGCGCAGCGACUGACUCCAAACGACUGUUUACCAAAAACACAGGUCCCUGCCAAAGCGCAAGCUGAUGUAUAGGGGCUGAUGCCUGGCCAGUGUCCGAACGUUAAGGAAGGGGGUUAUUUAAACUUCGGUUUAGAGAAGCUUCCGACUGAAGCGCGGAUGAACGCCGGCGAUAACUAUAAUCGUCCUAAGGUAGCGAAAUUCCUUGUCGGGUAAGUUCCGACCUGCACGAACGGCAUAACGAUUUGGAGACUGUCCCAACGAUGAACUCGGCGAAAUUGCAAGUCCAGUAAAGAUGCUGGAUACCCGUAGCCGGACGAAAAGACCCCGUGAAGCUUUACUACAACUUGAUAUUGAAUUAGUGUUUCACCUGUUCAGCAUAGGUGGGAGUCGCGUCUAACGCGACGACAGUGAGAUACCACCCUUGUGUUAUGUUAAUUCUAACGUACCCCCGUGAAUCCGGGGACCGGACAGUAUCUGGUGGGUAGUUUAACUGGGGCGGUUGCCUCCCAAAGAGUAACGGAGGCGUUUACAAAGGUUGGCUAGCUCGGGACGGAAAUCCGAGUGAUAGUGUAAAGGCACAAGCCAGCUUUACUGCGAGUCUGACCAGACGAGCAGUUGCGAAAGCAGAACUUAGUGAUCCGACCGUACGAUAUAGGACGGCGGAAGCUCAACGGAUAAAAGCUACUCCGGGGAUAACAGGCUAGUCACGCCCAAGCGCUCAUAGCGACGGCGUGGUUCGGCACCUCGAUGUCGGCUCGUCCUAUCCUGGGGCUGAAGAAGGUCCCCAGGGGUUGGCNNNNNNNCAAUUAAAAGGGCACGCGAGCUGGGUUCAGAACGUCGUGAGACAGUUCGGUCUCCUAUCCGCUACGGGCGUGGAAAUUUGAGAAGUCCCUUCUCUAGUACGAGAGGACCGAGAAGGACGAACCUCUAGUGUACCAGUUGUUCUCCCAAGGGCAUGGCUGGGUAGCUACGUUCGGUUUGGAUAAGCGCUGAAAGCAUCUAAGCGCGAAGCCGUCUUCAAGAUUAGAUUUCAUUAUGAGACCCCCGGGAGACGACCGGGUUGAUAGGCUCUAGGUGUACGCCCAGUAAUGGGUUUAGCCAAGGAGUACUAAUUGGUCCAUCAUAUAAUCA
Molecule: ribosomal RNA, 1986 nt
Filed under: Candidatus Buchananbacteria bacterium CG10_big_fil_rev_8_21_14_0_10_42_9
Lineage: Bacteria; Candidatus Buchananiibacteriota
Description: bacterial LSU rRNA
Rfam family: Bacterial large subunit ribosomal RNA
Source: RNAcentral